GGGCGGGGCGGAGAAACGCCCUGGGGGCGGGGCCUAGGAGGCGGGACCAGAAACCGGAAAUGGCCGUCUCCUGCGCGUAAUUCCGGAAAGGCAGAUAAUCGCAAACUGGGGCAACCGCCUUGGUGUCGGUCCCGCGGUCGCGUCUUCUCCUGGAGGCCCGCCAGUGCAGUUCCAAACCCAAGCCAAGGUCUGCGAGCGUCGCGGCUCACUUGGCCCGGAGGCGCAGUCUGCGGACCGCCGGAGCCUGUCUGGAGCGGGCUUCAGCAGCGGUUCCCACCUCCCGGUCUCCUGCCGGUCCCUGUGCUGAGAAACGCCUUCAGGCCUGCAGGGUCCCCUGCUGCACGCGGACCCCUCCAGGAUGCCCCACUGCCGCCUCUCCAGUGACUUUGGUGCAGUUUGCGCUUCUCAGUGUGUCAGUGUCUCGGAGAACAGCGAUUGUCCCCUUAGAGAUGUGAUGCCGGAAGAGCGAGGUUUUUUCGUAACUAGCAAAAGCCCCUGCCUAUAGCAGAAGAAAGUUUAGUUUUCAUCCAAAUGGAACUCAUGGGCUUUGCAGUUAAGGUCUAUAAAAGAAAUGUUUCUAGCCUGUUAAAAAAGUCUACCUGUUUGACUGGAUACCCAUUUAUAUGUAUUUAAAACAUACUGAGUCAUCUUAAUGUCCAUGUAGACUCUCAGAAAGGCGUGAGUUUUAGCCUAAAAAUAAGCCUUUCUACGUUCAGGAAAAACAAAAUUUCAAACAAUGAUUUAGAGCCCAACCUAUGGUACUCAGAAAUGUAUCACGCUGGAAAGUGCUAUCAAGGACCAAUCUGUAGCAGGUACACCACUUGAGAGCUGCUGGGAAAAGAAAGUAGCGCAGGUAAAAAAAAAAAAAAACACACAAUGGCGGGUGGGAAGCUUUGUGAAAUUUGAGAAUUCCUGUACAAUAGGAGAAAAUCCUGAACUUUUCAGAGCUAGAUUUUGGCCAACCGGAACUACUUCCACUGAUACUGCAAACCAGCAAAGGAGAGAACUGGAAAAUGGAGUUACCUUAAAGCAUUUCUACUUGGAGCCCUGUCUGUUCAAGCUUUAGCACUUGAGACUCCUGCAAAUAUCAUGUGGCCAAUUUAAGAAAGCAACUCUCUUUGGUCAGAGAUUUAAUUCUCAAGAAUGAAAGAAAGAGUGUGUUACAUUAUGGAAUGGCAGCUGCCACAACUCACGCAUGCAUGCGGUUAUCAGAAAAGGAGGAAUUAAGGUGAGCCAAACGGAAAACACACAUCAGUGUGGGGAGACCUAAUGGUCUUUCACCUAGCGAGAGAUAGGUAAAAAAAGCCUGAGAUUGAAUAAAGUAAAGUGGUUGUAGGGCCUGCUCUUCAGCUAUGUGCAUUCACUCCUAAUGGAGUCAGCUUUGCUCUUCCCUGAAGCAUGCUGGUCGUGAACUAGGGAUGGACUCGGGCCAAGGUGCAAGGCCAGGAGUGGUAUCCCUGGGCCAGUGGCCAGGGCGAGGAAUGCCUUCGCAAUAAGAAGAAGAACAUCUGGGCCUGAACGUGAAGUCCCUGGGAACACUGGCUGCCCAAGGACUUGGGAGGAAAAAUAAUAAGCCUUAGCCCCAGCUGGAACAGUAUAUAAACUUGUGUCCCCUGCUAGGCAGUAGCAGAGUGCUAUUCUGGUCCAGCCACUGCCCUGGACUGUCCUGUAAGUAAAUUCCCCAAAUAAACCAUAUGUCCUGAUCACUGGUUGCAAAGUCUUUCUGUGGUCCCUUGGAGACAUGGCCGACCUUGGGUCCAGACGCCACUGGGUUGUUACUCAACAAUUGGUGAGCCAGCCAGGAGCCCGAGGGAACCUCCGUGAGUGCCGGACAUAUGCUGGGGAAAGGGACUGUGACAGGAGGAAUCCUGGGAUGGCCCUCGUCCUCCAUGUGGGGGUGGGGGGGUGGUAGCUAUCUUGGAUAGCUGGAGCCCACUGCCUGAGUACAGGGAUGCCCCCAAAAUGUCUAAGGCCAUUUAGGAUGUGUUGCAUCAGUUGGAGGCCCCAAAACGAAAGCCAGAUUGGCGUGCUGUGACAGCUAGUAUAGGGUGGCUCCUACUGGCAGCCUUGAGAGGGGCAUCUGACACAGAGGUAGCCGCUAGGGCCUGAAUUAGGCAGCUGGAGGCAGACCUGCAACCAGAGAAGGAUUUGCGUGCCGUACAUUCCUCCUCCAUCAAGACAUUAGUGUCCAGUUUGCAGGAGCAAGAGGUGUCUGUGGGGGAAAUCCCAAGUUGGCCAGUGACCGCCAUGUGGGGAGGUCAGCCCACGUGCUUUUCUGUGGGGGAAAUCCCAGGUUGGCCAGCAAAGUCCAGCUAGCUGCUGAAGCUCACAUAAGAGCUUUUCAGAAAGAGCUACAGUUGGAAAGGUAUGCGUAGCAGUCAUGUGAGGGCAUGACUGACAUACUAAGCAGCUGCAUCUGUGAACAGGAUGAGCAACUAGAAAUGCUCACCUGCAGGUUUGUAAAGAUGGUAGAUUCAGGAGCUGAGGGAACAGUCCCUUAGCCAUUGCUCAAAGCCCUCCAACAAUGGGACUGGAGAUGGUUGGAGGGGCUAGCCGGUCCCUGGCAAUGAGAACACCCUGUAACAGUGCAACGCAAGAGUUAAAACAGAGGAAAAAAAGGAAUAUAAAGCCCUUCAAGAUAGCUUGUGUUGAGCGGCCUUGAAUACACCUCAGAGGCCCUCUCUGGAAUUCUCUGAUAGCUGCCCCUGCCAAAGAUAACCGAGCAGUAGCAUAGUUGGAGCUGCAAUAGUAAGGGGCAAACUAAGAUAGCAGAGCCGCCCUCCACGCUCCCAGGCAACUGGUCUGAACCCAUGCUUGCACUUGUAUGGUGGAGGUGUGGCUCCACAAAUGCCUGAGGGCUCUGUCAACUUCGCCUAGAUCUUUCAGAAAUAGUUAAGACUGAGGAUUAAGCCUAGGUCUCUGUCACCACUGAGGACCAAAGGCCUUAUGUUACAAUUAAAUUUCAGUGAGGUAAACUUUUGGGUCUGAGAUCACUAUUAUUGAGACACUUGCCCCAGCCUGACUUUGGGGCCCCUACAAAUCCUUGUUGUAUGUAAUGAUGAUGUAUUAAUGCACACCUUUGUAGACUUUUGCCUCCAAGUCCUGAUGGGAAUUGCUGCAGUUAGGGCCGUUUUUAGCAGGGCAUAUGGAAAUUGGGUUUGCACAGAGGUCACUGCCUCGAGACUCGGACAGACAGCCUGUGUGGCUAUACCCAGGCAACCCUCACCUCAGGUGCCAUGGAACAAAUAGGGGAGACAUUGGGCAUUUAUUUUGUGCUUAACUUGGCUAACGCUUUCUUUAGCAUCCUUCUACAACCAAGCAGCCAGGACCAGUUUACCUUCAAUUAGGAGGCGAGACAGUGGACCAUCACCGUGCUCCCACAAGCGUACCUGCAUAGCCCCACCAUAUGCCAUGUCACAGUUGCAGCUGACUUCAAGUGGUGGACUCCCCCAGCCAAGGUGGCCGUAUUCCUCUAUAUUGAUGAUGUCAUGCUGACCUCUGAUUCCUGUGCUUCUUUGCAGACUGCAGCUGGUGAGGUAGUCAUGCACCUCCAGUCACAGGGAUGGGCGGUGAACAAGGGAAAAAUGCAGGGGCCUGGCUUGUUAGUCAAGUACAUGGGUAUUAUCUGGUAAGACACAAGUGAUCCCUGAAGCAGUGAUAGAUAACAUCCAAGCCUAGCCCCACCCAGAAACUGUAAAACAACCGUAGGCAUUUGUCAGGCUCCUAGGGUAUUGGUGCCAUUUAGCCCAAACCCUGCAGUCCCUGUGUAAGGUAAUGAAGAAGAAGAGCAGCGUGGGACUGAGAGACAAAGGAAGAGGAAGCCUUCCAGCAGGCGAAGUUUGCUGUAAAACAAGUACAGGCUUUAGGAGUGUUAACACAAGGUCAGCCGUGCCAAUUGGACAUAGCCUGUUACCCCGAGGGGUAUGGGUAGGGCUUGUGGCAACAGCAAAGCAACAAGAGAGUGCCACUGGGAUUUUGGUCCCAGUUGUGACGAGGAGCAGAAGAGAGGUACAGCAUGUUGGAGAAAGUCAUGCGCAGUGUAUAACGCCUUACUGCAAGUGGAAGCAAGUCCUUAUAAAGGGCCAAGUUCCCCUUUGCAGGGAGCCUCAGGAUGGGACAUCACCCUCAGGGUGAUGGGUCAGACCCCUCAACAACAGUAUGCUAGAACCCUGCUAGUUGUUGCCAGUAGUUAGGGAAGCAAAAGCAAAGCCUAUGGGCAGGGGCAUACCUGUCGCCCAAGGGGUGGCUUUGGACAUGAGUCCUACAGGGGUGGCAAUACCUGCCCUAUGACUGGGUGAGGUGUUGCACCAUACAUAGCCGCUAAUAUUUACACCACCCUCCCCAGUGUUCCUAGCAACUGGCAAGCCGUUGUACAGCCUGGCAUAGAUACCAGUGCACAUCAUGGUGGUUUUCCUCUUUGGCACUGUUCUCACCCCAGGCCACCACUGUAGAUGUGGAGUGGCAGGUGGAGGCGCUAGCCACACACACCACAGCUGCCUUAAAGAUACCAGGCAGGCUGUCGUCCUUCUGGUUGGGGACAUUCAACAAAUACGGAAGGUCAUCCUUCAGAAUAGGAUGACCGUUGACAUCCUGACUGCUGUCCAGGGCGGCACCUGUGACAUGGUAAAAACUGAGUGUUGCAUAUAUAUCCCUGACGCCUCUAAAUAUGUGUCUUUGGCUCUUCAGGACUUGCAGCAACACAUCGCUGCUAUCAAACAUGAUGCCACUGACCCUAACUCCAGCUGGCUUCAAUCUCUCCCAUCCGCCUGGUGGACAGGCUUCUGGGUGAUAUUGGGACUCUUAUUACUAUGUCUUUUCCUGUGUUAUGGGUUAUACUGUGUAUGUGGUCUGGUUUUGCAAUGCUCCUCUGCAUACCAAGUCUGAGGGCUAUCGUGGAAGAGGGGGCGGUAAGAUCGUAAGGACAUUAGGAGGGUCUGCAGGGGUGGGCUGUAGGGUAACGCUGUUCAGCUAUACGCAUCCUCAUGGAGUCAGCUUUGCUCUUCCCCGAGGCAUGCUGGGGAUGAAUUAGGGAUGAAUUCGGGCUAAGGUACAAAGCUGGGAGUGGCGUGAGUGGGCCGGUAGCCAAAGCCGAGGAAUGCCUUAGCAACAAGAAGGAAAACAUCUGGGCCUGGACGUGAAGUCCCUGGGAACACUGGCUGCCCAAGGACUUGGGAGGAAAAACAAUAAGCCUUAGCUCCGGUUGAAACAGUAUAUAAGCUUGUGCCCCCUGCUAGGUGGUAGAGCGCUAUUCUGGUCCAGCCGCUGCCCUGGAUUGUCUUGUAAGUUCCAGGAAUAAACCUUGUGUCCCAAUCACUGGUUCUGGAGUCUUUCUUUGGUCUCCUGGAGAUGCGGCCGACAUCGGGUCCAGACACCACUGGGUUGUUACCCCACACUGGUGAUAGCAACUCCUCAAGCCAAAAGGAGGGAACAUGAGACUAGGCUAACAGGGAAGGAGGGUGCGGGCAGAGAUACCCGUGCUGUAACUUGGAGCCAGGUGCUCUGGAAUCCUAAGUUAGGUUAUCAGCAAGGGGCUUAGACGUGGAGAGGAGAGAGUAAGAAAGAAAAGGUAAGAGGGCGAACGUCUGUUUACACAUGCCCAGCCCCCUUCAGGCCCCUAAGAGCUAGAGCAAGGGAGAAGGGAGGCACAGGGAGAAGAGAGAGACUGUCUUCAUCAGUGUACUUCAUAUUGGAAAGGAGCUCUGUACCACGUUUUUACUCUGUGAUCUUAGCCUGUCUCUCAGCCUACUUUUCCUUGGCUGUAUAAUAGGGAUAAUCAUACUGAGCUCAUAAGAUGUUUGUGAAGAAUAAAUUACCUAACAAAUAAUGUAAAGGGCUAAAUACAGUGCAUAUCACAUGGUAAAUGUGCAUAAAUAUUAUCUAUCAAUAUUUAUAUAGUCACUUUGUGAGGCCCUAUAGGUCAGGGGUUAGAGCACUGGUCUUGUAAACUAGGGGUCAUGAGUUCAUAUCUCGCUGGAGCCUAUGAGUUAUUUCUUCUCAAAUUUUUGGAAACCCUGGUGGCGUAGCAGUUAGUUGCUAUGGCUGCUAACCAAAAGGUUGGCAGUUUGAAUCCACCAGGCACUCCUUGGAAACUCUAUGAGGCAGUUCUACUCUGUCCUAUAGGGUCGCUAUGAGUUGGAAUCUACUCAACAGCGACGGGUUUGGUUUUGGUUUUCAUAGUCAGUUUACAUCAUAGUCGUAAUACAUUAGAGGAGAUAGCAGAGACAUUUAGAGAUCAUCCAGUAAAGUUUAACCCCGUAAUACAGGCACUUCUUACACUGUGAACUCACAACAUGUGAAAAUUAUAUCCAAAAUAGCCAGCUGUACACUGCCAAAUCUUCUAAUUGCCCUGUAGUCACAGGAAGCCGUUAAAUAUCCCUGACUGACCACACCACCUUGACCAGUGGGGGAAUGGCCUGAUGCUACUUCUCUUUUCCUGUCUACCUUUUCUUCACCAGAGAGACUGUAGUUGCCACACUCCCUUCUGUCUUUCUGUGCUUACCGGACAGUUACGUCCACUCCAGGCUGCGGUGGGGCUCUCUUCAGGCUCAUGCCAAUGCCGAGUCUUCCUCUUCCACACCCACACCUGGGCCCGUGCCCACACCCACACCCACAGCUGCACCCACACCCCCAUCCUCACACACUCAUCCUUUAGUUUCUCCUUUUCCUCUUUUCAACUCCUAUGUGCUUGCUAAAGGGAAACAAAAAAGCUUUCUCUCUUAUUUUCUGUCACAUUAUUUUGUUUAAGACACUAAAGCCAUACCAUCACUAAGGGGGCAGGGGUGGGUGUGGACCACACCGGGUGAUACCAAAAUGACUGUCUAUAAAAUUUUUGUGUAGUAUUUCAGCAGAAAUUUAUUAUUUUUUAUGAAAAUAUUCCUGUGGUUAGUUACAACAAUAAAAGCAUUUUUCGUAAGCCUAGCUUACGUGUAUCAAACACCUACAAGGCUAAAACUCUAUGCUAAUUUACUUUUUGAACCUUAUAAAUGCACUCUGGUCAUAACUGUCAUCAUUAACCAGUUACACUGAUGCUUCAAAUCACAUGAUUUUGUCUGCACGUGCUAAAAGCACAUGCCGUUUUUUUUUUUUUUUUGCAGCCAGUGUUUUUAUAGUCACUGAUUUUGUCAAAUUUUCUGGUGUUUUAGCUACAAUAUUGUGGUAAUUAAUAUUUGGGAAGCCAUAGCAUUAACUGUUUUGAGAGCGGAGCAGUAAUUAAAGGCAAAGGAGUGAUAUACGGAAAUUACAAUUUACGAGUAACAUUAGUACAAAAAACAUUACUAAGGAUUCUGUACGGUCUGGUACUGGAGGAGGUCUACGCAGGGUGGUGACACCAUGAGUUACCGCACCGAGUGACACUAACCCUGGUGAUGCCACUGAGUUAGAACAUAUGUCUGAUCAUGUCUCUUGGUCAAAAAAGUAGAGAGAGUGAUACAACUAUACCAAGGAAAAAGACAGCUUCAAGUUUUGUGUUUUAUGUUUUGAAUGCAACUUAUGUUUAUAAAAGUAGCAAAUGUUACAUAAGUUAUCUCUUUAAGAAUAUUAAUUUUGUACAUGGAUAUUAUCUAGCAACAUUUAUAGAAUGUUUCCUGGGUCCACGAUAAAACUUUAAGGUUUAAUGUAAAAUUAGACUUCAAAAGAGUCAAUGCCAUCAACCUCUACAGAACUUUUUAAUGUGCACAGAAGUUCUUUUUAGAAUUUCCACAAAAAUCUCCAUUAAUGACAUAAUGUCUUUCUCUAAUUAAACUAUCCUCCAUCUUCAACAUACAAAAGAAAUUUUAAACUUACUUCUACCUUAUUGUUCUAUUUGUUUAUUGGUUAUAAUCCAGGAGUAUUGUAUUUUUUCAUGCAUUAAGAAAUAUUUGUUGAAAACGACAGCGGGAUACCAUCUCACCCCAACAAGGCUGGCACUAAUGCAAAAAACACAAAAUAAGAAAUGUUGGAACGGUUAUGGGGAGAUUGGAACACUUAUGCUCUGCUGGUGGAAAUGUAAAAUGACACAACCGCUUUGGAAAACAAUAUGGUACUUCCUUAAAAGCUAGAAAUAGAAAUACCAUACGAUCCAGCAAUCCCACUCCUAGGAAUAUACCCAAGAUAAAUAAGAGCUGUCACAUAAAUAGACAUAUGCCCACCCAUGUUCAUUGCAGCACUAUUCACAAUAGCAAAAAGAUGGAAACACCCUGGGUGUCCAUCAACAGAUGAAUAAACUGUGGUAUGUACACACAACGGGAUACUAUGCAAUGAUCAAGAACAAAGAUGAAUCUGCGAAGCAUCUCACAACAUGAAUGAAUCUGGAGGGCAUUAUGCCGAGUGAAAUUAGUCGCAAAAGGGCAAAUAUUGUAUGAGACCCACUAUUGUAAGAUCUCAAGAAAAUGUUAUAACAGAAAAAAGCAUUCAUUGAUGGUUAUGAUGGUGGGGAAGGAGGGGGAGGGGAAAUCACUAACUAGAUAGUAGGUAAGGCUCAACUUUUGUGAAGGGAAGGACAACACGCAAUACAGGCGAAGUCAGCACAACUGGAUGAAGGCAAAAGCAAAAAAGUUUCCUAGACAUAUCCAAACACUUUGAGGGACAGAGUAGCUGGGGCUGGGGCCUGGGGACCAUAGUUUUGGGGGACAUGUAAGUCAAUUGGUAUAACAUAGUUUACAAAGAAAAUGUUCUAUAUCCCACUUUAGUGAGUAGUGUCUGGGGUCUUAAAAGCUUUUGAGUGGCCAUCUAAGAUACAUCUAUUUGUCCCAUCCCACUUGGAGCAAAGGAGAAUGAAGAACACCAAAGACACAAAGAAAAUACUAGCCCAAAGAACUAAAGGAUCGAAUGAACCAGAGACUCCACCAGCCUGAGACCAGAAGAACUAAAUGGUGCCCAGCUGCCAUCAAUGACUGCCCUGACAGGGAACACAACAGAGAGUCCUAGACAGAACAGGAGAAAAAUGUAGAACAGAAUUCAAAUUCAUGUAAAAAGUUAAGAUUUAAUGGUCUGACAGAGAACAGUGGAGCCCCUGAAACUAUGCCCCCAGAAGCUGUGCUAACCCAGAACUGAAACCUUUCCUGAAGCCCACUCUUCAGACAAAGAUUAGACAGGACUAUAAAAAAAUAAUAAUACACGUGAGGAGCAUGCUUCUUAGUCGAAUCAGAUAUACAUACAAGACCAAAUGGGCAGCUCCUGUCCAAACGCAAGACAAGAAGGCAGGAAGGUAGAGAAACUGGUCAAAUGGACACAGGGAACCCCGGGGUGGAAAAGGGGCGUGUGCUGUCACAUUGUAGGGG
This is a long non-coding RNA of Loxodonta africana (African savanna elephant), 9257 nucleotides long. RefSeq lists it as uncharacterized. The transcript has 3 exons. Lineage: Eukaryota; Metazoa; Chordata; Mammalia; Proboscidea; Elephantidae. The record is from RefSeq and is a predicted model, not a curated record.